This 61-nucleotide microRNA precursor is filed under the name Cavia porcellus (domestic guinea pig). RNAcentral describes it as "Cpo-Mir-769_pre stem-loop". It matches the Rfam family "mir-769 microRNA precursor family", at positions 12 to 72 of the family's 81-position model. Lineage: Eukaryota; Metazoa; Chordata; Mammalia; Rodentia; Caviidae. The record is from RNAcentral.
UGAGACCUCUGGGUUCUGAGCUGUGAUAUUGUUCCUGAGCUGGGAUCUCCGGGGUCUUGGU